GUUAGGAAUCUUCCACAAUGGGGGCAACCCUGAUGGAGCAACACCGCGUGCUGGAUGAAGGCCUUCGGGUCGUAAACAGCUUUUGUAUACGAAGAAUAUGACGGUAAUAUACGAAUAAGGGUCGGCUAACUACGUGCCAGCAGCCGCGGUCAUACGUAGGACCCAAGCGUUAUCCGGAGUGACUGGGCGUAAAGAGUUGCGUAGGCGGCUUAUUAAGCGAGUAGUGAAAUCUGGUGGUUCAACCAUCAACACAUUGCUCGAACUGAUAGGCUUGAGAAUGGUAGAGGUAGUUGGAAUUUCUUGUGUAGGAGUGAAAUCCGUAGAUAUAAGAAGGAACACCAAUGGCGUAGGCAGACUACUGGACCAUUUCUGACGCUGAGGCACGAAAGCGUGGGGAGCGAACCGGAUUAGAAACCCUUGUAGUCC
Molecule: ribosomal RNA, 426 nt
Filed under: uncultured bacterium
Lineage: Bacteria
Description: partial 16S ribosomal RNA
Rfam family: Bacterial small subunit ribosomal RNA
Source: RNAcentral